Molecule: non-coding RNA, 29 nt
Filed under: Mus musculus (house mouse)
Lineage: Eukaryota; Metazoa; Chordata; Mammalia; Rodentia; Muridae
Source: RNAcentral
UCUUCAUAGUGGACAGAUACCCUAACUGC